Molecule: non-coding RNA, 31 nt
Filed under: Mus musculus (house mouse)
Lineage: Eukaryota; Metazoa; Chordata; Mammalia; Rodentia; Muridae
Source: RNAcentral
UGGAAGUGUGCUCUUAAAGAAACCUGUAAGA